RNA transcript from Pseudoliparis swirei, 3524 nucleotides. RefSeq lists it as uncharacterized. The record is from RefSeq and is a predicted model, not a curated record. NCBI's taxonomy places the organism in Eukaryota, Metazoa, Chordata, Actinopteri, Perciformes, Liparidae. The transcript is spliced from 5 exons.
UGCCCUCUGAGGGAUGAGGGGAGCCGAGGGGAUGGAAGCCCUUCUGAGCUCCACCGCCGUGAGAUGGAGUCCAAGGUGACUACAGAACUGUCAAAUAGGAAUCAUUUGCCAGGUGGGAAUAAGCAAUGGAAAGGAGAAGUAAGAACAUCAGACCACCAGUCAACUCCUCAGACAGGAAGUACACAUGGCUGCCCUCAUGAAGUCAGAACAGCAGCCGGACUGGAAGACCACGUUGAAGUUAGGAGAGGCGAUGUGAAUCAGCGUAAAGUCCCAGAGGAGACUGUGGGUGAACUAGAUUCUUCCACCAAGAAGAUGGAGGUACUUCGAGUCCCAUCUGUUCAAAAAGAGAAGGAUCUGUCUGGGGAGAGUUCUGAUCCAGUUAACGAGGAGGUUGUUGGUCAGAUGUGCUGCCCGGCCUCCGCAGACAAGAAGGUCAAGUGUACAACAAUUGUUACUCUACACAAUGUUGUUCAUGGUUUACCAUCUGAGAAGAAGUCCAAUGUGACGGUCGUAUUAACGUUAGAAAAAGAACACAGCCCAGAGGACAGAGGGAUAGAGUUCCAGCAGGACCGGUCCCUGAGCCCAGGUCAGGAGGGUGAAGCUUCUUCUCCGGUCCUAAGACCUCCACCCAGCCUGACUGACAGCAGCAAGCUAGACCAGCAAGCCACCCCGCAGGUAUCCGGGGACCCAUCGCAAUACACAGGAGAAGGAAGUAGCAUGAGCCCCCCGAUUUGGGACGAUUCAAUUCAAUUCAAUUCAGUUUAUUUGUAUAGCCCAAUUUCACAAAUUACAAAUGAGUGUCCACCACCUACAAUGGGUACCAUCUCCAAGACCCGGAGUCCAAGAGUCAGGACAGAGUCCAGAGAUGCUGGAAAGUGGGACUCUGACUUACAGACUGGGGACGAACCCACCUAUCAGGCAUACGACAACCAAGCUUUCCAGGACAGUGACGACUCUGAUAAGACACCUAUUAUUGUUUUCUUGGAUGAGCCUGUGGACAUCCAGUCAGCCUGCAAACGUCUCUCUACUAUCCUAGAAUGUGAGGAAGAUCUUGAUGGGAUUGUCUCUCCAGAACAUAUCUUGGAUGAAGAGGAGACAAAGCCGGAUGAAGAGAAACAGAACAUGAGAACAAUAAGCAUGACUGAAAUAAAUACAGUCGUUGACAUGAAGGAUACCGGAGGAAAAGGUCAUGAUGUUCUACGGACGCACAAUCACAUCCUUUCAGCAGAUAGUGUCUCAAUUCCAAAAAAACGAGACCAGGGUACACCAGACUCGUCUAGACCGCCAGAGACCAAAAGGAAAUUCAAAUUCAAAUUCCCCAAAAACAAACUGGCUGCAAUUAGCCAAGCCAUUCGUCUCAGGACGACCAGAACAGGAAAGAAGACUCUCAAAGUGGUUGUUUAUGAGGAAGAGGAGGACAAAGCAUCGGACAGCAAGCCAGUGAAGGAGACCAAGAAGCCAACACAAGAAUCCAAGAGGGUUAAGACCAGCAGUACCACACAACUCAACGUGGGUGAAGACAAUGCCCGUGAUAGAGACAUCAAGGUCUCCCCUUCCAUUGAUACUAGACCCUCAAAGUCCGGCAGCCGGCUAGAGAAGCUCUGCAGGAGCACGUUGGACUCCAUGGACAGUCUAGAAGAGUCCAUUAAACAGUUGGAGAUCAGCGUGGACAGUGUGUCCGGCCCUUCUUCUCCCUCCAGCGAAGUGUCCUCACCUCCUGCGUCCCCUGACUCCUCCUGUGACUCCAGGGACAGGACUCAGCUCCAAGGCAAAGUCAAACGAGAGAGGAAGACGAGCCCGUCCAAGAGGCCAGCGUCUCAGACCCUCAAGGGCCCCGAUCCACCUCAGAGUAAGAGAGCCAAGCCCCAAGCUACACAGGACUCAGGAAAAACCUCCACCAAGAAACAGACCUCCAGCAGCAGCUCCGGCUCUUCUGCCCAGCAACCCCACUCCAGAUCUCGUGACUCUCCUUCCUCCCGCUCACCGGAGAAGACGCCAGAGGGCCAGAAGCAGGCCGGCCAGGUCAGCAGUGACUCCUGAGCUGGUGGCCUCUCUCUGGACCUCGGUGGAGGCAGCAGUACCUCCGCCGCUCUGGUUCUCGGGUGGAUUUAAGGAACAAGGGUUUCAGUUCACAGUCAGGAGGCCGAUGAUGAAGCUGGCGGCGCGUUGGCAGGAGGAGCAGCGGAGCCUCCGGGGGUAGGAGCCCUUCCUCUAAGAUCCCCGCCUUGAGCCACAGCUCUGGGAGCCACCCGUCUGCUCACUGCUCAGACACCAGCCAUAGCUUCCCACGCCUGUCCUCCUCCUCCUCAAAGUGUCCUUCCGGCCCGCCUCCUUCUUCCUCGGCCCAGCUUUCCAGGCAACGGGCUCUUACGUGUCCUCUCUCCUCUUCUUCUCCCUCAGACUCCCCACCUCGCUCCCCGUCUCCUUCGCUCGCUUCCUUUCCUGUCUCCUCUCCCUGUCGUCAGUCUUUUAUCCCGUGUCUGAAUCUGAGUCGUCUCCUCUCCUCGUCUAGCCUCCUCGCCUUGUCGUCAUCCCACGCUAACGCCGGCCCGGCCCAACGCCAGCACCGCCUCGCCAUCACCUCCACCCCCCAACACAGCUACUCCUCCUCGGCCUCCUCCUCCUCCCUGCCCCCCACCUCCUCUUCCUCCUCCCUCCUCCGGAUGGUCCAGAUGUCGGCGUCCUCUCCGGGCAAGAAAUGCGGCGAAAGCCAAGAUGGCCGAGUCGGCUGCAUGACGUUCAGGGCAGGAGGAAAGCGUGGGACAACUGAUGACUGAACCUGAUGUUCCUCUCCAGCAACAGUGUGUGACGUUUACCUGAUGAUGUCUUUGGACAAUACAAGUCCGACCUGAUGUCCGAGAGCAACACGGCGUGGACCUGUUCGCAUCUUUUUCAUCGUUAUUUAUUCUUUCUUUUUUUUUUAAUCCAAACCGUGUUUUCAAAGGAUCAAUAUUGAGUGAGCCGAGGUGACGUAGCACACGUUCCUCCAGAGGGCGUGGUUAUUCACCGUGACUGAUGCCUUGAGGCCUCUGAGCUAUAGGUCUGACAACACGAGCCACGCCUCCAUUUACGAAUACGACGCACUAGUUGAAGUAUGGCGUCAUGAAGGCUGCACGGAAACACAAAUAAUGGGUUCCACGUCCUAAACCGUGCUCGAGGGGUUUGAUGAAGUCACAUGACUGAGUGUCUGUGUCCUGGCAACAUGGCACAUGGCCAACACCAGCUGAUGUGGAGGAUACGGGGUCAGACUAAAUAACGCACACAGACUCACAAACGCAAACACAAGACGCGCUCAUGCGAUUGGCUGACGGUGGGAGUGACAUCUGAUUGGCUACAGGCCAGUCGAUGUUGAAAAGAACGCAUUUGUGAAUCGAGCCUCGACAACAGAGGAGUCUCAAAAACCCACAAACAAAGAAAUGGUCAUUUAUUUAUGUGUGCAUCGGAAAGUAUUGGAGAGUCUAAUUUAUUUGUACAUUUAUUCUGUGUGCAUUUGUAAAUCUAAUAUAUUUGUGAAUUGUUCUGUG